CUACACUUCUUAAAAAUAAUAAAUGAGAUAAUUAACUAAUUAUCUUUACAAAAAUCAUAAAAAUAUUCAUUCAAACUUUGCAGCGGAUUGAAUUCAUUAACAUAGAUAAGUCUUUGGCACGCAGGCCUUAUUAAAAACAUAAACAAUACGUAAAGGAAUAAAAAAUAGCCACAAAAGAUCACAUCCCGUUACGUAUCAGAGCAUCCUAAGACUCAGUGAGAAAUAAGUCACUCACGACAGCAACAGCAGCAACCUACUAACGAUCACCUGCAAGUUACUCAUACGAAGAGCAACAUUUCCAAGCAGAAGGGGUGAGAUUUUACAAAACAAUAAUAUUAAACAUAUAAUUCAACAAUUAUAUUUAAUCAACAUCAAAUCAUCUUAACAUUCAUUAUAGAUAAUAAUAUAUCAUUUAACACUUCAUUCAUAGUUUGUAUAAACAAUUACAACUUCACAGCUUAUCAACAUAAACAUCUUUGACUCGACAAAUGC
Molecule: long non-coding RNA, 492 nt
Filed under: Medicago truncatula (barrel medic)
Lineage: Eukaryota; Viridiplantae; Streptophyta; Magnoliopsida; Fabales; Fabaceae
Description: long non-coding RNA (MTRU_LNC007141)
Source: RNAcentral